Homarus americanus (American lobster) is the source of this 449-nucleotide long non-coding RNA. RefSeq lists it as uncharacterized. The transcript is spliced from 3 exons. Lineage: Eukaryota; Metazoa; Arthropoda; Malacostraca; Decapoda; Nephropidae. The record is from RefSeq and is a predicted model, not a curated record.
UGGUUUUGUGACGUCAAACGGCAACCAAUCACAGUGCAAGAAGGUAACCAAUCAGCACACACGGAAAAGCAAGACACGUAUAAACGGCAGCUCUGUUACUAGUGACUCCAGUGCGAGAGGGAGGGCUGACCACCAGAAAUAAACACUCCGUUUUUAUUGUGCUGUCUCCACGUAACGUAUACGAAGAACUACUACAUAACCUCACAAGAAACACUUUUGUUACUCUGCGUGUGCUUCUGUAUCAGGUGACAGGAGAAGGGUGAUUCACCAUGAACACUCGUGUGGCCUGGGUCCUACUGCUCACCUAUGCUGUGUUGCUGGCUGUGGGAUGCUUCGCAAUAUGGAUAUCAGUUUGGGUGUUUGGCCCCAUGGACAUGAGAAGCCCCCCUGUGCCACCCACAACACCAGCCUCAAGUAGUAAAAGGGAUCAUCAAGAGUACAGUAAUAGG